UUUCCGAGCUUCGAAACAAAUCCCGAGGACCACGAAGGCGGAGUGGGUGCCGUUGCUGACAACGGCGAAUUCUUUCAAUGAAAGACAUGGCACAGAACGGCAAGAAGCCUAAUAGCGAACGUCCAAACAGAUAGGCCUGGCGUUGCUGCGGUGCUGCAGAUCCGCGUGCGAGAGCGCCGGUUCGAGGCCGCAAGAUCUGGCUUCAACCUGAACAUUCGUGCGACCUUUUCUUUUGGAGACUCGACUCCUGGGCUCAGUCACCGGGAUGCUUGCGCCACAUCCCAGGAUUUCUUUGACAAAUGCAACUGUUUACCCCGCCAUAUUUACUUGUUUUUUGUACUUUACUUUUCAAUACAUGCUGCCCGAUUCAUUUUCUUGUAGUAGCUGUAACAGAGAAUUCCACUUUUCUCACAGUGUUUAAUACAGUAGUGCUAGAAGUUUGCAAGUUAUUAACACUUGUAUAAAUUACACACUAUGUUAACUGAUACACAGUGUUAAUUAAUUGACACUGUUUAUCAACAUUGUAUGCAACUUUAUGUAAAACUGACAUUGUUGAUGAAUAAAUUUUAAAAGUGAAAUGUAA
Dermacentor andersoni is the source of this 583-nucleotide long non-coding RNA. RefSeq lists it as uncharacterized. Lineage: Eukaryota; Metazoa; Arthropoda; Arachnida; Ixodida; Ixodidae. The record is from RefSeq and is a predicted model, not a curated record.